GGGGUUGUGGCUCAGCGGCAGAGCGCUCACCUAGCACAUGUGAGGCCCUGAGUUCAAUCCUCAGUACCA
RNAcentral lists this transfer RNA (69 nucleotides) under Ictidomys tridecemlineatus (thirteen-lined ground squirrel). Its description in RNAcentral is "Spermophilus tridecemlineatus (thirteen-lined ground squirrel) tRNA". It matches the Rfam family "tRNA". Rfam says of the family: Transfer RNA (tRNA) molecules are approximately 80 nucleotides in length. Their secondary structure includes four short double-helical elements and three loops (D, anti-codon, and T loops). Lineage: Eukaryota; Metazoa; Chordata; Mammalia; Rodentia; Sciuridae. The record is from Rfam by way of RNAcentral.